GACGAACGCUGGCGGCGUGCUUAACACAUGCAAGUCGAACGGAAAGGCCCUGCUUUUGUGGGGUGCUCGAGUGGCGAACGGGUGAGUAACACGUGAGUAACCUGCCCUUGACUUUGGGAUAACUUCAGGAAACUGGGGCUAAUACCGGAUAGGAGCUCCUGCUGCAUGGUGGGGGUUGGAAAGUUUCGGCGGUUGGGGAUGGACUCGCGGCUUAUCAGCUUGUUGGUGGGGUAGUGGCUUACCAAGGCUUUGACGGGUAGCCGGCCUGAGAGGGUGACCGGCCACAUUGGGACUGAGGUGCGGCCCAGACUCCUACGGGAGGCAGCAGUGGGGAAUAUUGCACAAUGGGCGGAAGCCUGAUGCAGCAACGCCGCGUGCGGGAUGACGGCCUUCGGGUUGUAAACCGCUUUCGCCUGUGACGAAGCGUGAGUGACGGUAAUGGGUAAAGAAGCACCGGCUAAGUACGUG
Molecule: ribosomal RNA, 468 nt
Filed under: uncultured bacterium
Lineage: Bacteria
Description: partial 16S ribosomal RNA
Rfam family: Bacterial small subunit ribosomal RNA
Source: RNAcentral